UAGGGAAUCUUCGGCAAUGGACGAAAGUCUGACCGAGCAACGCCGCGUGAGUGAAGAAGGUUUUCGGAUCGUAAAACUCUGUUGUUAGAGAAGAACAAGGACGUUAGUAACUGAACGUCCCCUGACGGUAUCUAACCAGAAAGCCACGCCUAACUACGUGCCAGCAGCCGCGGUAAUACGUAGGUGGCAAGCGUUGUCCGGAUUUAUUGGGCGUAAAGCGAGCGCAGGCGGUUUCUUAAGUCUGAUGUGAAAGCCCCCGGCUCAACCGGGGAGGGUCAUUGGAAACUGGGAGACUUGAGUGCGGAAGAGGAGAGUGGAAUUCCAUGUGUAGCGGUGAAAUGCGUAGAUAUAUAGAGGAACACCAGUGGCGAAGGCGGCUCUCUGGUCUGUAACUGACGCUGAGGCUCGAAAGCGUGGGGAGCAAACAGG
Molecule: ribosomal RNA, 429 nt
Filed under: Gemmatimonadota bacterium
Lineage: Bacteria; Pseudomonadati; Gemmatimonadota
Description: Gemmatimonadetes bacterium partial 16S ribosomal RNA
Rfam family: Bacterial small subunit ribosomal RNA
Source: RNAcentral